UGGCGGACGGGUGAGUAUGUCUGGGAAACUGCCUGAUGGAGGGGGAUAACUACUGGAAACGGUAGCUAAUACCGCAUAACGUCGCAAGACCAAAGAGGGGGACCUUCGGGCCUCUUGCCAUCGGAUGUGCCCAGAUGGGAUUAGCUAGUAGGUGGGGUAAAGGCUCACCUAGGCGACGAUCCCUAGCUGGUCUGAGAGGAUGACCAGCCACACUGGAACUGAGACACGGUCCAG
Molecule: ribosomal RNA, 234 nt
Filed under: uncultured bacterium
Lineage: Bacteria
Description: partial 16S ribosomal RNA
Rfam family: Bacterial small subunit ribosomal RNA
Source: RNAcentral